This is a non-coding RNA of Chaetomidium leptoderma, 74 nucleotides long. NCBI's taxonomy places the organism in Eukaryota, Fungi, Ascomycota, Sordariomycetes, Sordariales, Chaetomiaceae. The record is from the annotation of a GenBank genome assembly.
GGUUCGAUGGUGUAGUUGGUUAUCACGUCAGUCUAACACACUGAAGGUCUCCAGUUCAAUCCUGGAUCGAAUCA